GACGAACGCUGGCGGCGUGCUUAACACAUGCAAGUCGAACGGAAAGGCCCUGCUUUUGUGGGGUGCUCGAGUGGCGAACGGGUGAGUAACACGUGAGUAACCUGCCCUUGACUUUGGGAUAACUUCAGGAAACUGGGGCUAAUACCGGAUAGGAGCUCCUGCUGCAUGGUGGGGGUUGGAAAGUUUCGGCGGUUGGGGAUGGACUCGCGGCUUAUCAGCUUGUUGGUGGGGUAGUGGCUUACCAAGGCUUUGACGGGAGCCGGCCUGAGAGGGUGACCGGCCACAUUGGGACUGAGAUACGGCCCAGACUCCUACGGGAGGCAGCAGUGGGGAAUAUUGCACAAUGGGCGGAAGCCUGAUGCAGCAACGCCGCGUGCGGGAUGACGGCCUUCGGGUUGUAAACCGCUUUCGCCUGUGACGAAGCGUGAGUGACGGUAAUGGGUAAAGAAGCACCGGCUAACUACGUG
This 467-nucleotide ribosomal RNA is filed under the name uncultured bacterium. RNAcentral's name for it is "partial 16S ribosomal RNA". It matches the Rfam family "Bacterial small subunit ribosomal RNA", at positions 28 to 507 of the family's 1533-position model. The record is from RNAcentral.